CCUGGAUGAGCAGGAGCUGGAGGCACUCUUCACUAAGGAGGUGAGCAUCUUGGAAGCCUCGGGCACCUGGAGGGACGCCCAGAUCAGCCACUUGUUUCCUCCUAGCAGUCCCCUUAAAUCCCCCUGGAUGGGAGCUCAGUGAAAACUACAACUCCCAUCAGCCCCUGGGGCAAAAACGGCUCCCAGGAGUGGUGGCGUGCGCAAAGGACUGCUGGGAGUUGAAGUUGUCGGGAUUGAGCUCGCUGGGGACCUCUCAAUGCUGUCUGCCUCUCGCUUGCUCCUGCAGCUGGAGAAAGUGUACGACCCAAAGAAUGAGGAGGACGACAUGCGGGAGAUGGAGGAGGAGCGACUGCGCAUGCGGGAGCAUGUGAUGAAGAAUGUGAGGUGGGGGCCAGGCGGGGGAGAGGACGGGGCCCCAGCUCUGUCACUCACCCUUAUCUGGCUCCCCAGGUGGACACCAACCAGGACCGCCUCGUGACCCUGGAGGAGUUCCUCGCAUCCACUCAGAGGAAGGAGUUUGGGGACACCGGGGAGGGCUGGGAGACAGUGGAGAUGCACCCUGCCUACACCGAGGAAGAGCUGAGGCGCUUUGAAGAGGAGCUGGCUGCCCGGGAGGCAGAGCUGAAUGCCAAGGCCCAGCGCCUCAGCCAGGAG
This 654-nucleotide small RNA is filed under the name Pan troglodytes (chimpanzee). RNAcentral describes it as "retained intron". The record is from RNAcentral. Lineage: Eukaryota; Metazoa; Chordata; Mammalia; Primates; Hominidae.